RNAcentral lists this ribosomal RNA (337 nucleotides) under Escherichia coli. RNAcentral's name for it is "partial 23S ribosomal RNA". It matches the Rfam family "Bacterial large subunit ribosomal RNA", at positions 148 to 523 of the family's 2925-position model. Lineage: Bacteria; Pseudomonadati; Pseudomonadota; Gammaproteobacteria; Enterobacterales; Enterobacteriaceae. The record is from RNAcentral.
CUAUCAUUAACUGAAUCCAUAGGUUAAUGAGGCGAACCGGGGGAACUGAAACAUCUAAGUACCCCGAGGAAAAGAAAUCAACCGAGAUUCCCCCAGUAGCGGCGAGCGAACGGGGAGGAGCCCAGAGUCUGAAUCAGUGUGUGUGUUAGUGGAAGCGUCUGGAAAGGCGCGCGAUACAGGGUGACAGCCCCGUACACAAAAAUGCACAUACUGUGAGCUCGAUGAGUAGGGCGGGACACGUGGUAUCCUGUCUGAAUAUGGGGGGACCAUCCUCCAAGGCUAAAUACUCCUGACUGACCGAUAGUGAACCAGUACCGUGAGGGAAAGGCGAAAAGAA